CUUUACUGUAGCCUGGUAUUGGGUUCGGGCUUUGACUGCGCAGGAUAGGUGGGAGACUGAGAAGUGUGCCUUGUGGGGCACAUAGAGUCAACGGUGAGAUACCACUCUGUCAGAGCUAGAAUUCUAACCUUCACCCGUGAUCCGGGGAAGGAACCGUAUCAGGUGGGCAGUUUGACUGGGGCGGUCGCCUCCUAAAAGGUAACGGAGGCGCGCAAAGGUGUUCUCAGGCUGGUUGGAAAUCAGCCGUAGAGUGUAAAGGCAGAAGAACGCUUGACUGUGAGAGUGACAACUCAAGCAGGGUGGAAACACGGCCUUAGUGAUCCGACGGUGCCGCAUGGAAGGGCCGUCGCUCAACGGAUAAAAGUUA
This 367-nucleotide ribosomal RNA is filed under the name uncultured organism. RNAcentral describes it as "bacterial LSU rRNA". It matches the Rfam family "Bacterial large subunit ribosomal RNA", at positions 2099 to 2465 of the family's 2925-position model. The record is from RNAcentral.